CCGCGGGAUUAGAGUUUGAUCCUGGCUCAGAUUGAACGCUGGCGGCAGGCUUAACACAUGCAAGUCGAGCGGGGAAAGGUAGCUUGCUACCUGACCUAGCGGCGGACGGGUGAGUAAUGCUUAGGAAUCUGCCUAUUAGUGGGGGACAACAUCUCGAAAGGGAUGCUAAUACCGCAUACGUCCUACGGGAGAAAGCAGGGGACCUUCGGGCCUUGCGCUAAUAGAUGAGCCUAAGUCGGAUUAGCUAGUUGGUGGGGUAAAGGCCUACCAAGGCGACGAUCUGUAGCGGGUCUGAGAGGAUGAUCCGCCACACUGGGACUGAGACACGGCCCAGACUCCUACGGGAGGCAGCAGUGGGGAAUAUUGGACAAUGGGGGGAACCCUGAUCCAGCCAUGCCGCGUGUGUGAAGAAGGCCUUUUGGUUGUAAAGCACUUUAAGCGAGGAGGAGGCUACCGAGAUUAAUACUCUUGGAUAGUGGACGUUACUCGCAGAAUAAGCACCGGCUAACUCUGUGCCAGCAGCCGCGGUAAUACAGAGGGUGCAAGCGUUAAUCGGAUUUACUGGGCGUAAAGCGCGCGUAGGUGGCCAAUUAAGUCAAAUGUGAAAUCCCCGAGCUUAACUUGGGAAUUGCAUUCGAUACUGGUUGGCUAGAGUAUGGGAGAGGAUGGUAGAAUUCCAGGUGUAGCGGUGAAAUGCGUAGAGAUCUGGAGGAAUACCGAUGGCGAAGGCAGCCAUCUGGCCUAAUACUGACACUGAGGUGCGAAAGCAUGGGGAGCAAACAGGAUUAGAUACCCUGGUAGUCCAUGCCGU
RNAcentral lists this ribosomal RNA (811 nucleotides) under uncultured Gammaproteobacteria bacterium. Its description in RNAcentral is "bacterial SSU rRNA". It matches the Rfam family "Bacterial small subunit ribosomal RNA", at positions 1 to 803 of the family's 1533-position model. The record is from RNAcentral. Lineage: Bacteria; Pseudomonadati; Pseudomonadota; Gammaproteobacteria.